This 663-nucleotide ribosomal RNA is filed under the name uncultured Oscillatoriales cyanobacterium. Its description in RNAcentral is "bacterial SSU rRNA". It matches the Rfam family "Bacterial small subunit ribosomal RNA", at positions 99 to 795 of the family's 1533-position model. Lineage: Bacteria; Bacillati; Cyanobacteriota; Cyanophyceae; Oscillatoriales. The record is from RNAcentral.
CGGACGGGUGAGUAACGCGUGAGAAUCUGCCCUCAGGACGGGGACAACAGCUGGAAACGGCUGCUAAUACCCGAUGUGCCGAGAGGUGAAAUGUAAUUCGCCUGAGGAUGAGCUCGCGUCUGAUUAGCUAGUUGGUAGGGUAAGAGCCUACCAAGGCGACGAUCAGUAGCUGGUCUGAGAGGAUGAUCAGCCACACUGGGACUGAGACACGGCCCAGACUCCUACGGGAGGCAGCAGUGGGGAAUUUUCCGCAAUGGGCGCAAGCCUGACGGAGCAAGACCGCGUGCGGGAUGAAGGUCUGUGGACUGUAAACCGCUUUUGAUAGGGAAGAACACAAUGACGGUACCUAUCGAAUCAGCCUCGGCUAACUCCGUGCCAGCAGCCGCGGUAAUACGGAGGAGGCAAGCGUUAUCCGGAAUUAUUGGGCGUAAAGCGUCCGUAGGUGGUGAUGCAAGUCUAUUGUCAAAGCAUGAGGCUUAACCUCAUACCGGCAGUGGAAACUGCAUUGCUAGAGUGCGAUAGGGGCAAGGGGAAUUCCCAGUGUAGCGGUGAAAUGCGUAGAUAUUGGGAAGAACAUCGGUGGCGAAAGCGCCUUGCUGGGUCUGCACUGACACUGAGGGACGAAAGCUAGGGGAGCGAAAGGGAUUAGAUACCCCUGUAGUC